This 213-nucleotide long non-coding RNA is filed under the name Fukomys damarensis (Damara mole-rat). RNAcentral describes it as "lncRNA (ENSFDAG00000031304.1)". Lineage: Eukaryota; Metazoa; Chordata; Mammalia; Rodentia; Bathyergidae. The record is from RNAcentral.
CUAAAUUGUAUUUCAUGGACCGGACGCUCAACCAAGAGGAAUCGGGGCAGCAAAGGGUCCACACGGUCAGCCCACAGGAUGUCACUGUCUCUGCAAAUGGCUGUUGCAAUGCUCUCUGGACCCCACAUUUUAGAAUACAGACUGAGCUCUGCUGCCUGAUCCAUGAAGCAUCCUACAAAUUCAAGAUGUUGUGACAACCAGAGGCUACAAGUG